Anneissia japonica is the source of this 1256-nucleotide long non-coding RNA. RefSeq lists it as uncharacterized. The record is from RefSeq and is a predicted model, not a curated record. The transcript is spliced from 3 exons. NCBI's taxonomy places the organism in Eukaryota, Metazoa, Echinodermata, Crinoidea, Comatulida, Comatulidae.
UGUUCUGCAGAAUGCUGCUACGUUAACAACUACUAGCUAAUAACACUACUACUGAAUUGACUAUCACAAGUCAUUCCCCAACAUUUACUAAUACUAAUAUUUUUUCUCUAUAUAGUUUUAAGACAAAAUUCCGAAGCACUUUCCAACGCAUUUAAUGGUGCUGUGAGGGCACUACAACACUUACGAAGCUACCAUUUACAAAUCGUGACAAGGUAUAUCGUUAUACAAUCGAACAAAGACAAAAAUAAAGCUUUUUCUAAUCUAGGAAAAACAGGAACAGGAGGAACAGAAUAUAUGCAAUUUUUAAAAGGUCUUCGAGAUUGUACUAAAGAAGCUCUACUAAACGAUAUAUGAUGGAAUACAACCGAGGUAAUUGAGUUACGUCACUAAUUUCAACAGUAAUUUCCAUCGUUUCCCACCCGGUUAGAACAAUCAUGGAGCAACGUACAGUGCAGACGCAUCGCUUGCGUACAAAUCUGGAACACCUCUGUUGAAUUUGAAAAAAAAAUCGUCGAUGUAAGCCCAAAAGCCAGGCCAACAUAAUGACUGAAUUUGAUUAUAUCAUUAUAUUGUAUUGUAUUUUGAAACAUUUAAUUUGCUACAGCUAUGCCUAUUACCAACAUUGAUUGUCAUAGAGAAGGCUUAGGCCUAAGGUGAUGCAAAUUAUAGAUGAAAUAAUUUAAAAAAAGUAAUAAAUACGCUGAUUUGUUUGAUUCAUCCUAUAUAAUAGUUAGUCACUAAACACUAUUAUAAUUAAAUGUAUGCGAACAGUAAUUGACACAAUGUUUAGAUGCCUGUACAUUCGAAAGGCAUGUUCAUUUCGCUACCCUUUAGGUGUACUGCCGAAUUCACCGUCAAAAGCGUCCCAAAGGAAAGUUUUCCUUGCUACGUGAUUUAUACCAUAAUCCUUCUCAUCAUUCCACCCCUAUAUUUACUUCAUGGGGCAUUGGCAAGUCCUCGAGUCCAGCCAGCAGGUUCUCCGCUGCUAAUACUGCCAUUAGAUCUCUUGAGUCUUCAGUUGCACUGCCAAUGUGGGGAAGAACAACUACAAAAAUAACAAAAAUAUAGUGGUAUUGAUUGGUGACGAAAUUUCUAGAUAACAUGUAAGAUACAAUAGCGAUCAUUUUAUGAACAGAUGGUUACACACCACAUAGUGUUGGUCAUAGAAUACGAAGAGGGUAAACAAAUAUGACAAAAAUAAUAAAAUAGUUAUUACUAUAAUUCCAUUUUGUGAAAUACAAAUAAAAAUAAUUCCA